This 442-nucleotide ribosomal RNA is filed under the name uncultured bacterium. RNAcentral's name for it is "partial 16S ribosomal RNA". It matches the Rfam family "Bacterial small subunit ribosomal RNA", at positions 339 to 795 of the family's 1533-position model. The record is from RNAcentral.
CUACGGGUUGCUGCAGUGGGGAAUUUUGGGCAAUGGGCGAAAGCCUGACCCAGCAACGCCGCGUGGAGGAUGAAGGUUUUCGGAUCGUAAACUCCUGUCCCAUGAGACGAAGCAAGUGGCGGUAUCAUGGGAGGAAGCCCCGGCUAACUCCGUGCCAGCAGCCGCGGUAAUACGGGGGGGGCGAGCGAUGUUCGGAAUUACUGGGCGUAAAGGGCGCGUAGGCGGUUUCGGAAGUCAAGGGUGAAAGCCCCGAGCUCAACUCGGGAAUUGCCUUUGAAACCACGGAACUAGAGUGUUGGAGAGGAAAGCGGAAUUUCCAGUGUAGCGGUGAAAUGCGUAGAUAUUGGAAGGAACAUCUGAGGCGAAGGCGGCUUUCUGGACAGACACUGACGCUGAGGCGCGAAAGCCAGGGGAGCGAACGGGAUUAGAUACCCCAGUAGUC